RNAcentral lists this ribosomal RNA (252 nucleotides) under uncultured bacterium. RNAcentral's name for it is "partial 16S ribosomal RNA". It matches the Rfam family "Bacterial small subunit ribosomal RNA", at positions 524 to 776 of the family's 1533-position model. The record is from RNAcentral.
UACGGAGGAUGCGAGCGUUAUCCGGAUUUAUUGGGUUUAAAGGGUGCGUAGGCGGGAUGUCAAGUCAGCGGUCAAACUGCGGGGCUCAACCCCGUAUUGCCGUUGAAACUGUACUUCUUGAGUGCUGGAGAGGCAAUCGGAAUUCCGUGUGUAGCGGUGAAAUGCGUAGAUAUACGGAGGAACACCAGUGGCGAAGGCGGAUUGCUGGACCGUAACUGACGCUGAUGCUCGAAAGUGCGGGUAUCAAACAGG